Sinomonas sp. R1AF57 is the source of this 114-nucleotide non-coding RNA. NCBI's taxonomy places the organism in Bacteria, Bacillati, Actinomycetota, Actinomycetes, Micrococcales, Micrococcaceae. The record is from Rfam.
AUCCCCCGGCGGGCUGAGAUCUCCAGCCGCCCGGAAGCCUUCCUGGCUCUCCUUCCCCGGAGCCAGGCGGCAAUACCGGCGCGGAGGGGGAUCUGGGCUCCGCCGGAGCACGGC